This is a small nuclear RNA of Oryctolagus cuniculus (rabbit), 107 nucleotides long. Lineage: Eukaryota; Metazoa; Chordata; Mammalia; Lagomorpha; Leporidae. The record is from Ensembl.
GUGCUCGCUUCCGCAGCACAUAAAUGAAAAUUGGAACGACACAGAGAAGAUUAGCAUAGUCCCUGCACAAAGAUGGCAUGCAAAUUUGUGAAGCAUCCCAUAUUUUU